RNAcentral lists this long non-coding RNA (1210 nucleotides) under Callithrix jacchus (white-tufted-ear marmoset). Its description in RNAcentral is "lncRNA (ENSCJAG00000062062.2)". The record is from RNAcentral. Lineage: Eukaryota; Metazoa; Chordata; Mammalia; Primates; Cebidae.
GUUACAGUAAGUCAGCCAUCGUGUGACCAUGAAGUGGCAAGCAUUUGCCAAGGCAAGUUAAGCAGAAAGACAAAAGGAACCUGGGUCUUUGAUAUCAUAAAGGCAACCACGUUAUUGUCAGCUGUAUUAUGAGAAAAAUAAAAUCUUCGAUUGAUUCAAGCCACUGUUUUCAGCUUUUUAUUACGAAUAGCUAAAUAUAUUUCCAACUGAGGUACCAUCAGAAACUUACCUGGACAACUUUCUAUUAAUGACUGAAAAAGCAUGUGUCUUUCCAGUUUCCUUUACUUUGGUUAGAGUUGAAGACCCGACUCCGGCUAUAAAGAAACAAAACAAUGUAUACACCUCAAAGUGCUGAGUAUUAAUCAUUCAUUUCAAUAUGCCCAAUGGACCAAAAAAGGGGCAGAUGAGUAUGAAUGAUUCCCAAAAUAAAUAACCCUUAUUUUAUAAUUUGGCUAAAGAGUAGCUUUGUAUUUUCCCAGAAAAGAAGUUGGUGGGAAAAAAAAGAUAAUAUUUGAAUCUGUACUAUAAGCUAGAAACUUGGCUGAACAAUCUGACAUUUUCAUAUUUAAUGUUCAUGAAAAUCCAAUAAUGUAACCAUUCAUAUCUCCCUUUUUUGCAGAUAAGAAACUGAGGCUCAGAGAAAUCAAAUAUCUUGUCAAAAUCUACAUCAUUGAAGAGAUGGGUUUUAAAUCCAGGUCUGCUUGGCCCUUGCCACGACUUCAUAAUGAAAUUCCAUGGGUUUUACUCUUUCCUAUCAUGGAAAAGACUCAUGAUAUUUUCUACUUCAUAGGCUUGGAAAUAUUCUCAAUCACCAUAAAAUUCAGCCUUCCUCUGGUAACUCUGGAGACCCUCAGAGUUUUUCUUAUUUCCAGAGACAGGCGGUUUGGAUGAGAAUUAUUCUCUAUUUUCACACAAAUUGUCCAGAUGACAUCUUUACUGGUAUCUGAAAUAGAAACAGAAAACAACUUGGAGGACACAAAAUGUGAAGGUUGGAGAAAAAGCUUUGAAUUCAAACUGAAAUUAAAUUAUUUCUUUUGUUAAAAAUCACAGAGAAAACUAGUUUCCUAAAAAACUUAAGACUUUUAUUCAUAAGAUAAUUCUAAGAUAAUAAAGAAGCCAUGUAAAUAAAAUCUAUAAAAUUCAAAGAGAAAAUGAGAGAAAAACAAUAUCAUUGCAGAUCUUUAAAUCACAUUCUGCAAAAAUCAAAAAU